AAAAAUAUAAAAUGCCAAAAGAUUCAUUUGGGGGCUUGUUAUUGUUUUUGAUUAGGUGGAAGGAGACCUGGAUGUUCUCAGCACACCAGGGUUGAGGCAGGCCUAGCUGCAGGCACCAGGAGGACUGGAUACAUCACAGAGCCAAAAGGGAUAAGAGUUCAGAAGAGGCAGAUCAGUCAUGUGACUGCGUCGGAGUCGGAGCACCUAUAUAGCUUUGGUCACCUGAGUACCUUACAGUCCUGCAUGGAAAGCCCUGCCAGCCCCUCCACUCGCACCAAGUCAAACUUCACCCAAAGGAAGAAGCAAGCGGCGGGAGAGAAAGGAAGAAAGGAAGGCCCCGAGAGGCUCCGGCUACUCCAAUCAGGUCACUGUUUCCCUACC
This is a long non-coding RNA of Mauremys reevesii (Reeves's turtle), 381 nucleotides long. RefSeq lists it as uncharacterized. The transcript has 3 exons. NCBI's taxonomy places the organism in Eukaryota, Metazoa, Chordata, Testudines, Geoemydidae. The record is from RefSeq and is a predicted model, not a curated record.